Molecule: ribosomal RNA, 390 nt
Filed under: uncultured bacterium
Lineage: Bacteria
Description: bacterial SSU rRNA
Rfam family: Bacterial small subunit ribosomal RNA
Source: RNAcentral
AUUGAACGCUGGCGGCAUGCCUUACACAUGCAAGUCGAACGGCAGCACGGGAGCAAUCCUGGUGGCGAGUGGCGAACGGGUGAGUAAUAUAUCGGAACGUGCCCGGUCGUGGGGAUAACGUAGCGAAAGCUACGCUAAUACCGCAUACGAUCUACGGAUGAAAGCGGGGGAUCGCAAGACCUCGCGCGAUUGGAGCGGCCGAUAUCAGAUUAGGUAGUUGGUGAGGUAAAGGCUCACCAAGCCGACGAUCUGUAGCUGGUCUGAGAGGACGACCAGCCACACUGGGACUGAGACACGGCCCAGACUCCUACGGGAGGCAGCAGUGGGGAAUUUUUGGGACAAAUGGGCGCAAGCCUGAUCCAGCAAUGCCGCGUGCAGGAUGAAGGCCUC